UGCUGUAAAGAAGUACCCUUUAAAUAUCACCUUGUAUCACACUGUAUUAAAAGUAGAUAAAAGAGAUAUUGAAUAGCUAAAUGGAUUUUCUGAAGUGGUUAAAGUCCAUUCAUUGGUAAAUUAGAAAUCUGUUUACAUUGAAAAACUUGCCCUCUAGGCAGAAAGUUUAAAUUUAUUUCUUUAUAUAGAAGGCAGUCAGGAUUUCUUAUACAAUAGUGAUAGGUACUAAUGAGAUAUCACACAGAACUCGAGGAUGGCAUCAAAUACGAAUUUAGGAACCUGAGAGGAGUUCCCGCCUGCACUGAAAGAAUAGCUCAACAUCUGUCAUCCCAUUCUCUGCGAUGGCCCAAAAUCAGGAAGACUACAGCUGUCCUGUUCCUUUCAGAUACUUCUGGGAUAGAGAGGUUGGGAGUUAUGCUACAACUGCUGAGUGCUGGAUGAAGAUGAAAACAAGGGAUGUAAAUUAAUGUAUUCCUUAUAAGCUCAAAAAUGACAUCUAUUAAGAUAUGUCUGUAUGGACAAGAAGAGAGAAGGAAAGGAAGGGGGAGGAGGGGAAGAAGCUGGGAAGAAAAUGCUACCACAAAAAAAUUAAAAAUAUUUCAACACUUAUCCUCACCGGUCCAUUGGUUUAAUAUCUAGCAAAUUAGUCAAAAGCAAAAUAUAUAUAUAUAUAUAAAAG
Molecule: long non-coding RNA, 679 nt
Filed under: Anas platyrhynchos platyrhynchos (common mallard)
Lineage: Eukaryota; Metazoa; Chordata; Aves; Anseriformes; Anatidae
Description: lncRNA (ENSAPLG00000021044.1)
Source: RNAcentral